UUGUAUCGUCUUGAGCGUAUUGUGGGUUUCCUGUGUUGCAUACCUAACCAAUGGUAUCGUUUGGAUUGAUCGAAGUCCCUUUUCAUCUUGUGUUGCCUUUGCGACGCAUGAUGAACCUCGAAGCGGUCUCUAUGUUCCACCAUGUUGAUGCUAGUGUUUCGAUGUUGUGGCCCAUUGAGCAUUGCUUGGUUUCGUGGAUACAGAACAUGAUUUGGGCAUAGGGUCACUCGUGACUCUUGUUUUGUCCUUUACCAGUGUUCUUUAUAACGACGGUUCAUGCGCGCCUAGGCUCGUACCUGUGCGAUGUUCUUUGUCGAAGAGGAAUGCUACCUGGUUGAUCCUGCCAGUAGUCAUAUGCUUGUCUCAAAGAUUAAGCCA
RNAcentral lists this unclassified non-coding RNA (378 nucleotides) under Senecio cristimontanus. Its description in RNAcentral is "partial external transcribed spacer". The stretch from base 328 to 378 matches the Rfam family "Eukaryotic small subunit ribosomal RNA", at positions 1 to 51 of the family's 1831-position model. The record is from RNAcentral. Lineage: Eukaryota; Viridiplantae; Streptophyta; Magnoliopsida; Asterales; Asteraceae.